GCACAAAACAACCUCCGAACGAUUUUAGCCAAGACCAACAAGUCAAAGCGACAAUGAUCUAAUUGACCCAAUUUUUGAUCAACGGACCA
RNAcentral lists this ribosomal RNA (89 nucleotides) under Synaptomys cooperi (Southern bog lemming). RNAcentral's name for it is "partial large subunit ribosomal RNA". Lineage: Eukaryota; Metazoa; Chordata; Mammalia; Rodentia; Cricetidae. The record is from RNAcentral.